This 249-nucleotide ribosomal RNA is filed under the name uncultured euryarchaeote. RNAcentral's name for it is "partial 16S ribosomal RNA". It matches the Rfam family "Archaeal small subunit ribosomal RNA", at positions 478 to 726 of the family's 1478-position model. The record is from RNAcentral. Lineage: Archaea; Methanobacteriati; Methanobacteriota.
GGCGGCCCGAGUGGUGAUCGUGAUUAUUGGGUCUAAAGGGUCCGUAGCCGGUUUGGUCAGUCCUCCGGGAAAUCUGAUAGCUCAACUAUUAGGCUUUCGGGGGAUACUGCCAGACUUGGAACCGGGAGAGGUAAGAGGUACUACAGGGGUAGGAGUGAAAUCUUGUAAUCCCUGUGGGACCACCUGUGGCGAAGGCGUCUUACCAGAACGGGUUCGACGGUGAGGGACGAAAGCUGGGGGCACGAACCG